This 24-nucleotide microRNA is filed under the name Marchantia polymorpha subsp. ruderalis. Lineage: Eukaryota; Viridiplantae; Streptophyta; Marchantiopsida; Marchantiales; Marchantiaceae. The record is from RNAcentral.
CAGGAACCUCAUGGGCAAGAGACG